This is a long non-coding RNA of Contarinia nasturtii (swede midge), 209 nucleotides long. RefSeq lists it as uncharacterized. The record is from RefSeq and is a predicted model, not a curated record. The transcript is spliced from 2 exons. NCBI's taxonomy places the organism in Eukaryota, Metazoa, Arthropoda, Insecta, Diptera, Cecidomyiidae.
CGAAAUUUAAACAAACUUUGAAGAAUUAAAAACGAAUUGUCAUUUGUUCUGUUCGAUUCAACGACAAAAAAUGUUCCAUCGCAAAGUGUUCGCUUUGUUAUUCUGUGGGCUCGUGAUUGGCGAGCUUUUUGAUAAUAACGUUGAUGCCACUCUCUGUGGCAGGGACAGAGAGGAGAUAAUUGGAAAAACCCCCGACAAACCAAAGAAAC